Molecule: ribosomal RNA, 253 nt
Filed under: uncultured bacterium
Lineage: Bacteria
Description: partial 16S ribosomal RNA
Rfam family: Bacterial small subunit ribosomal RNA
Source: RNAcentral
UACGUAGGGUGCAAGCGUUAAUCGGAAUUGCUGGGCGUAAAGCGUGCGCAGGCGGUUUUGUAAGUCUGACGUGAAAUCCCCGGGCUCAACCUGGGAAUUGCGUUGGAGACUGCAAGGCUAGAAUCUGGCAGAGGGGGGUAGAAUUCCACGUGUAGCAGUGAAAUGCGUAGAGAUGUGGAGGAACACCGAUGGCGAAGGCAGCCCCCUGGGUCAAGAUUGACGCUCAUGCACGAAAGCGUGGGGAGCAAACAGG